This 1536-nucleotide ribosomal RNA is filed under the name Escherichia coli. RNAcentral describes it as "partial 23S ribosomal RNA". It matches the Rfam family "Bacterial large subunit ribosomal RNA", at positions 711 to 2230 of the family's 2925-position model. Lineage: Bacteria; Pseudomonadati; Pseudomonadota; Gammaproteobacteria; Enterobacterales; Enterobacteriaceae. The record is from RNAcentral.
AGACCCGAAACCCGGUGAUCUAGCCAUGGGCAGGUUGAAGGUUGGGUAACACUAACUGGAGGACCGAACCGACUAAUGUUGAAAAAUUAGCGGAUGACUUGUGGCUGGGGGUGAAAGGCCAAUCAAACCGGGAGAUAGCUGGUUCUCCCCGAAAGCUAUUUAGGUAGCGCCUCGUGAAUUCAUCUCCGGGGGUAGAGCACUGUUUCGGCAAGGGGGUCAUCCCGACUUACCAACCCGAUGCAAACUGCGAAUACCGGAGAAUGUUAUCACGGGAGACACACGGCGGGUGCUAACGUCCGUCGUGAAGAGGGAAACAACCCAGACCGCCAGCUAAGGUCCCAAAGUCAUGGUUAAGUGGGAAACGAUGUGGGAAGGCCCAGACAGCCAGGAUGUUGGCUUAGAAGCAGCCAUCAUUUAAAGAAAGCGUAAUAGCUCACUGGUCGAGUCGGCCUGCGCGGAAGAUGUAACGGGGCUAAACCAUGCACCGAAGCUGCGGCAGCGACACUGUGUGUUGUUGGGUAGGGGAGCGUUCUGUAAGCCUGUGAAGGUGUGCUGUGAGGCAUGCUGGAGGUAUCAGAAGUGCGAAUGCUGACAUAAGUAACGAUAAAGCGGGUGAAAAGCCCGCUCGCCGGAAGACCAAGGGUUCCUGUCCAACGUUAAUCGGGGCAGGGUGAGUCGACCCCUAAGGCGAGGCCGAAAGGCGUAGUCGAUGGGAAACAGGUUAAUAUUCCUGUACUUGGUGUUACUGCGAAGGGGGGACGGAGAAGGCUAUGUUGGCCGGGCGACGGUUGUCCCGGUUUAAGCGUGUAGGCUGGUUUUCCAGGCAAAUCCGGAAAAUCAAGGCUGAGGCGUGAUGACGAGGCACUACGGUGCUGAAGCAACAAAUGCCCUGCUUCCAGGAAAAGCCUCUAAGCAUCAGGUAACAUCAAAUCGUACCCCAAACCGACACAGGUGGUCAGGUAGAGAAUACCAAGGCGCUUGAGAGAACUCGGGUGAAGGAACUAGGCAAAAUGGUGCCGUAACUUCGGGAGAAGGCACGCUGAUAUGUAGGUGAAGUCCCUCGCGGAUGGAGCUGAAAUCAGUCGAAGAUACCAGCUGGCUGCAACUGUUUAUUAAAAACACAGCACUGUGCAAACACGAAAGUGGACGUAUACGGUGUGACGCCUGCCCGGUGCCGGAAGGUUAAUUGAUGGGGUCAGCGCAAGCGAAGCUCUUGAUCGAAGCCCCGGUAAACGGCGGCCGUAACUAUAACGGUCCUAAGGUAGCGAAAUUCCUUGUCGGGUAAGUUCCGACCUGCACGAAUGGCGUAAUGAUGGCCAGGCUGUCUCCACCCGAGACUCAGUGAAAUUGAACUCGCUGUGAAGAUGCAGUGUACCCGCGGCAAGACGGAAAGACCCCGUGAACCUUUACUAUAGCUUGACACUGAACAUUGAGCCUUGAUGUGUAGGAUAGGUGGGAGGCUUUGAAGUGUGGACGCCAGUCUGCAUGGAGCCGACCUUGAAAUACCACCCUUUAAUGUUUGAUGUUCUAACGUGG